GACGAACGCUGGCGGCGUGCUUAACACAUGCAAGUCGAACGGUGAAGCGCCUUCCUUUUUGGUUGGUGUGGAUGAGUGGCGAACGGGUGAGUAACACGUGAGUAACCUGCCCCCUUCUUCUGGAUAACCGCAUGAAAGUGUGGCUAAUACGGGAUAUUCUGGGUCUGUCGCAUGAUGGGUCUGGGAAAGAUAUUGUUUCGGUGGGGGAUGGGCUCGCGGCCUAUCAGCUUGUUGGUGGGGUGAUGGCCUACCAAGGCGGUGACGGGUAGCCGGCCUGAGAGGGUGGACGGUCACACUGGGACUGAGACACGGCCCAGACUGCUACGGGAGGCAGCAGUGGGGAAUAUUGAACAAUGGGCGCAAGCGUGAUGCAGCGACGCCGCGUGAGGGAUGGAGGCCUUCGGGUUGUGAACCUCUUUCGCCAGUGAAGCAGGCCUGCCUCGUUUGUGGGUGGGUUGACGGUAGCUGGAUAAGAAGCGCCGGCUAACUACGUG
This 494-nucleotide ribosomal RNA is filed under the name uncultured bacterium. RNAcentral describes it as "partial 16S ribosomal RNA". It matches the Rfam family "Bacterial small subunit ribosomal RNA", at positions 28 to 507 of the family's 1533-position model. The record is from RNAcentral.